CAUCUUUUAAAAAAAUCACUAAACUACCACAACUUAAAACUUGUAAGAAUAAUUAGGUAAGAGUUAUUGUAAUAUUGAAUUAAUAUAGCACCUAGAAAUUUGAAAUUUGUAAUAUUUCAGAUGAUAUGAUUUACUGAGAAAAAGAGUAAUGAUUUUUCUUCAGUGAAUUUUCAGGGGUUUUCAACAUAGGUCUCUUUUAAAAGGGUUAAAAAAUUUAUGCAUACUAGGAAUUGACCUGAUGGUAACAGAUCCAUGUGUGACAAAUAAUGUAGUGCAGUCCUAUCUGAAUAUAAUUUCUUUUUCACUUUGUCUCAUUAAUUUAUACCUCAAUUAAAACAUUCUAUAUGCAAGUGACAUAUUUCUCUAAAACAUUCCGUAUUUCAGAUUUCCAUUCAGACUAUCUUCCCCUCCUCCCUUUUCUCAAAUCAGAGUGAUCUUGUGGCAUACCAUUUGCUUUUUCUCUC
Molecule: long non-coding RNA, 464 nt
Filed under: Homo sapiens (human)
Lineage: Eukaryota; Metazoa; Chordata; Mammalia; Primates; Hominidae
Description: lncAB72.1
Source: RNAcentral